This is a long non-coding RNA of Myotis myotis, 1538 nucleotides long. RefSeq lists it as uncharacterized. The transcript is spliced from 4 exons. The record is from RefSeq and is a predicted model, not a curated record. Lineage: Eukaryota; Metazoa; Chordata; Mammalia; Chiroptera; Vespertilionidae.
CCGCGCCUUCCCGCCCUCGCUCCGCUCCGCCGCCGAGUCCCGAGGGGCUGUCUAGUCUGGAAGGACGUCCCGCGCCUUCACUUCGCCAACUUCUGCUUCUUAUUCUCAGCGGUUCAGGGCGGCCGAGAAACACCUCGGGUACCUUUGUUUUGUGACCAGCAAAUCACACUUUACAGGAGGGAAGGCAUGAGGACCAAUUUCAAAAAGGAAAAAUAGGGAUAACAUACACAGACGGACUCCAACUUAUGCUCAUCAAUGAUUCUUGAGGGGAAGCUUUCAAGAGCUCUGGGGGAAAAUCACAAAGACUACUGUGUGAAGAAUGGACUAGAAUGAGAAAGAGAGGAGGUUCUGAGACUGACUGGAAGGCUGUCCUAGUAAUCCAGGCUAGAUGGUGGUCACUUGGACUAAGGUAUAGCAGUAACUGGAUUCAAGACUUGUUUUGUAAGUAUCUGUAGGACUUUCUGAUAGGCUGUGGCCAGAGCAUCAUUGGUUAGAGCAUCAUUCUGAUACACCAAGGACUUUCUGCUGGAUGCAUGUGAGCAUUUAGGAAAAUGAAGAUACCACUUACAGUAAUGGAAGCAACUCUGGGAAGAGUGAAUUGGAAGAAGAGGAGAAAUGCUUCAUUCUCCUUCGGACAUGUUAAGUUUGAGAGUUCGGGUAGAAAAGAGAGGAGAACUGAGUUCAGAGCCUGGAGCACUGCAAGAGGUCUGCUGAGGAGGAGGAGCCAGAAAGGGGCUGAGAAAGAGCUGCCGGGCGAGUCAGAGGAAAAUCCAGAGUCCGACUUCACAGAUGUCUACGCAGGCGACCUUAAUAAGAAUUGUUUCUUAUCAGUGUGGGAAUGGGAGAAUAAAAGUCUGACUGAAGUUUAAGGAGGAGAGAAUAGGAGGUGAGGACAAAAAGUAGCUUUCAGAAAUUUUUUCCAUUAUGUGAGAAAGAAAAAUGGAGUGGUGGUUGGAAGCAGAAGGGGGACCCGGAGAGAUAUGUCGGCUGCUGAUAGAAACAAUCCAGGAGAAGGGAAGAAAUGGGAGAUGAAGGAGAGCAAGGUAAUAAUGAAGGUACACAGCCACGUGGAAGGAUUGGACUUUGGCCUUGAUAGAAGAAGGAUGCAUCUUCCCUAACUCAAGGGCAAGACAGGGACCCAGGUUCAGAUGCAGGUGGGCUGCAGGAUUUGGUAAGGAGUUGAAUCCAAUUUUCCCAAAUUCUACUCCAGAGUGAAAAGUAACCACAUAGCCUCCGUCAGAAUCAUGAAGCUGUAUUUGUUGUAUUGGACACAAUAGCUUUUGAAAGAUGUGACUUGGUUGAUUUAUAGUGUGAAAAUAUUCUGCAAACCUGGUCAUUUAAGUUUAGUGGUACGCAAAUGUCAUUAUCUAGUUAAAUGAAUUCUUAUAGCACUAAGCUUGUUUUGAGUGCACAGCCCUCAUUUUUCAGUUUGAAUCAAGAAUGAAGUCAACAGCCCAGCCAGUGUCGACCUAUGAACCAGGAGAUUAUGGUUCAAUUUCUGGUCAGGGCACAAACCCAGUUGCGGGUUCAAUCCCCAG